RNAcentral lists this transfer RNA (71 nucleotides) under Pseudomonas aeruginosa. RNAcentral's name for it is "tRNA-Ala". It matches the Rfam family "tRNA". From Rfam's summary of the family: Transfer RNA (tRNA) molecules are approximately 80 nucleotides in length. Their secondary structure includes four short double-helical elements and three loops (D, anti-codon, and T loops). Lineage: Bacteria; Pseudomonadati; Pseudomonadota; Gammaproteobacteria; Pseudomonadales; Pseudomonadaceae. The record is from RNAcentral.
GGACAAGUAGCUCAGCUUGGUAGAGCGCGAUCGCGACGAGGUCGCAGGUUCAAAUCCUGCCUUGACCGCCA